Molecule: ribosomal RNA, 490 nt
Filed under: uncultured bacterium
Lineage: Bacteria
Description: partial 16S ribosomal RNA
Rfam family: Bacterial small subunit ribosomal RNA
Source: RNAcentral
GAUGAACGCUCGCUACAGGCUUAACACAUGCAAGUCGAGGGGCAGCAUGGUCUUAGCUUGCUAAGGCCGAUGGCGACCGGCGCACGGGUGAGUAACACGUAUCCAACCUGCCGUCUACUCUUGGACAGCCUUCUGAAAGGAAGAUUAAUACAAGAUGGCAUCAUGAGUCCGCAUGUUCACAUGAUUAAAGGUAUUCCGGUAGACGAUGGGGAUGCGUUCCAUUAGAUAGUAGGCGGGGUAACGGCCCACCUAGUCUUCGAUGGAUAGGGGUUCUGAGAGGAAGGUCCCCCACAUUGGAACUGAGACACGGUCCAAACUCCUACGGGAGGCAGCAGUGAGGAAUAUUGGUCAAUGGGCGAGAGCCUGAACCAGCCAAGUAGCGUGAAGGAUGACUGCCCUAUGGGUUGUAAACUUCUUUUAUAAAGGAAUAAAGUCGGGUAUGGAUACCCGUUUGCAUGUACUUUAUGAAUAAGGAUCGGCUAACUCCGUG